RNAcentral lists this ribosomal RNA (464 nucleotides) under uncultured bacterium. Its description in RNAcentral is "bacterial SSU rRNA". It matches the Rfam family "Bacterial small subunit ribosomal RNA", at positions 330 to 792 of the family's 1533-position model. The record is from RNAcentral.
GCCAGACUCCUACGGGAGGCAGCAGUGAGGAAUAUUGGUCAAUGGACGAGAGUCUGAACCAGCCAAGUAGCGUGAAGGAUGACUGCCCUAUGGGUUGUAAACUUCUUUUAUAAAGGAAUAAAACGAGGCACGUGUGCCUUUUUGCAUGUACUUUAUGAAUAAGGAUCGGCUAACUCCGUGCCAGCAGCCGCGGUAAUACGGAGGAUCCGAGCGUUAUCCGGAUUUAUUGGGUUUAAAGGGUGCGCAGGCGGAAUGUCAAGUCAGCGGUAAAAUUUCGGGGCUCAACCCCGUCGUGCCGUUGAAACUGGCGUUCUUGAGUGAGCGAGAAGUAUGCGGAAUGCGUGGUGUAGCGGUGAAAUGCAUAGAUAUCACGCAGAACUCCGAUUGCGAAGGCAGCGUACCGGCGCCCAACUGACGCUGAAGCACGAAGGCGUGGGUAUCGAACAGGAUUAGAUACCCGUGUA